CCUACGGGUGGCAGCAGUGGGGAAUAUUGCGCAAUGGGCGAAAGCCUGACGCAGCGACGCCGCGUGAGGGAUGAAGGUCUUCGGAUCGUAAACCUCUGUCAGCAGGGAAGAACGGUCACUGUGCUAAUCAGCAGUGAAUUGACGGUAACUGAAAAGGAAGCACUGGAUAACUCCGUGCCCGCAGCCGCGGUAAUACGGAGGGUGCGAACGUUAAUCGGAAUUACUGGGCGUAAAGCGCUCGUAGGCGGUAUGUCAAGUCAAGGGUGAAAUCCCCGCGCUCAACGUGGGAACUGCCUUUGAAACUGGCAAACUGGAGUGUGUGAGAGGAUAGUGGAAUUCCAGGGGGAGGAGUGAAAUCCGUAGAUAUCUGGAGGAACAUCAGUGGCGAAGGCGACUAUCUGGCACAUAACUGACGCUGCGUAGCGAAAGCGUGGGUAGCAAACAGGAUUAGAUACCCGGGUAGUC
This 465-nucleotide ribosomal RNA is filed under the name uncultured bacterium. Its description in RNAcentral is "partial 16S ribosomal RNA". It matches the Rfam family "Bacterial small subunit ribosomal RNA", at positions 338 to 795 of the family's 1533-position model. The record is from RNAcentral.